Molecule: ribosomal RNA, 406 nt
Filed under: uncultured bacterium
Lineage: Bacteria
Description: partial 16S ribosomal RNA
Rfam family: Bacterial small subunit ribosomal RNA
Source: RNAcentral
AUUGAACGAUGGCGGCAGGCCUAACACAUGCAAGUCGAACGAGUGGCGGACGGGUGAGUAAUGUAUGGGAAACUGCAUGAUGGAGGGGAAUAACUACUGGAAACGGUAGCUACUACCGCAUACCCUCGGAAGUGCCCAGAUGGGAGUAGAUAGUAGGUGGGGUAACGGCUCAACUAGGCGACGAUCCCUAGCUGGUCUGAGAGGAUGACCAGCCACACGGGAACGGAGACACGGUCCAGACUCCUACGUGAGGCAGCAGUGGUGAAUAUUGCACAAUGGGCGCAAGCCUGAUGCAGCCAUGCCGCGUGUAUGAAGAAGGCCUUCGGGUUGUAAAGUACUUUCAGCGGGGAGGCGUUACCCGCAGAAGAAGCACCGGCUAACUCCGUGCCAGCCGCCGCGGUAAUUC